Drosophila albomicans is the source of this 735-nucleotide long non-coding RNA. RefSeq lists it as uncharacterized. Lineage: Eukaryota; Metazoa; Arthropoda; Insecta; Diptera; Drosophilidae. The record is from RefSeq and is a predicted model, not a curated record. The transcript is spliced from 4 exons.
GCCUUUUUGAGUCGAUACCGUUGCUUGACGCGCGUGAAAAUUUUUGGCUUCGUCUUCAAAUUGAUAUUUAUUGUAGUUUGUGCGCGCAUUUUUUUCUUUAAACAAGUUGUGUUUGUUUUACGUUGUGCAAAUAAGCAAGUAAAGCAGUUGUAAUAUUUGCCAUUUCAUUUCAUAUUUACCUGUUUUAAUAUUUACGCAUCAAUUUCAUUUUGCUUUUGCUGUGUGUGUGCAGACACUUAACGAAUUUUUUUUUGUGUUGUUUGUGAAGAGAAAGAGUGCGGAUUGUAAGCCCAGUAUUGAAUGUACAAGUGGCCAACAUAUUUAUUAUUACUUGGGGAUGCAGCCAGCCAUUUGGCCUUUUGCCAGGCAUAUUGAUGUCCACAGAAGUCUCACAAAUUGAUACCCUGCAGCAGCGCCAAGAAGCGCUAUAUAACAAAGUUAAUUACAUAUUUAAAUGAAAUUCACAUCCGGUCAACAUAUGGAUUCAAGUUAUCACUGCAUAUAAUCUUUUCGAACUGCAAGCGACUGACAUGCGCUUGCAUUAAACCCGAUGAUUGACUGGGACUCCCCCCGCUCCAGCUUCUGCCCGCCACACCUUUCUAAUUGCCUCUAAGCUGCAGUUGUGCAGCGACGUGUUUGAUUAAAAAGUGGUUGUUUGUUCUGUGUGUUGUGUAGUGUAGUGUAAAGAGUGUAGUGCAGAGAGAGUGAAAAAGAGAGCUGGCGCUUUGCUCUCUC